UACGUAGGGUGCAAGCGUUGUCCGGAAUUAUUGGGCGUAAAGAGCUCGUAGGCGGUUUGUCGCGUCUGCUGUGAAAACUCGGGGCUUAACCCCGGGCCUGCAGUGGGUACGGGCAGACUAGAGUGCGGUAGGGGAGACUGGAAUUCCUGGUGUAGCGGUGAAAUGCGCAGAUAUCAGGAGGAACACCGGUGGCGAAGGCGGGUCUCUGGGCCGUAACUGACGCUGAGGCACGAAAGCGUGGGUAGCAAACAGG
This 253-nucleotide ribosomal RNA is filed under the name uncultured bacterium. RNAcentral describes it as "partial 16S ribosomal RNA". It matches the Rfam family "Bacterial small subunit ribosomal RNA", at positions 524 to 776 of the family's 1533-position model. The record is from RNAcentral.